UACGAAGGGGGCUAGCGUUGCUCGGAAUCACUGGGCGUAAAGCGCACGUAGGCGGAUUGUUAAGUCGGGGGUGAAAUCCUGGAGCUCAACUCCAGAACUGCCUUCGAUACUGGCGAUCUUGAGUCCGGGAGAGGUGAGUGGAACUCCGAGUGUAGAGGUGAAAUUCGUAGAUAUUCGCAAGAACACCAGUGGCGAAGGCGGCUUACUGGUCCGGUUCUGACGCUGAGGCGCGAAAGCGUGGGGAGCAAACAGG
Molecule: ribosomal RNA, 253 nt
Filed under: uncultured bacterium
Lineage: Bacteria
Description: partial 16S ribosomal RNA
Rfam family: Bacterial small subunit ribosomal RNA
Source: RNAcentral